CCUACGGGAGGCAGCAGUGAGGAAUAUUGGUCAAUGGGCGGAAGCCUGAACCAGCCAAGUCGCGUGAGGGAAUAAGGCCCUACGGGUCGUAAACCUCUUUUGCCGGGGAGCAAGGGCGGGGACGUGUCCCGGCCCGGAGAGUACCCGGAGAAAAAGCAUCGGCUAACUCCGUGCCAGCAGCCGCGGUAAUACGGAGGAUGCGAGCGUUAUCCGGAUUUAUUGGGUUUAAAGGGUGCGUAGGCGGGCUUUUAAGUCAGCGGUAAAAAUUCGGGGCUCAACCCCGUCCGGCCGGUGAAACUGGGGGGCGUGAGUGGGCGAGAAGAAGGCGGAAGGCGGGGUGUAGCGGUGAAAUGCAUAG
RNAcentral lists this ribosomal RNA (358 nucleotides) under uncultured bacterium. RNAcentral describes it as "partial 16S ribosomal RNA". It matches the Rfam family "Bacterial small subunit ribosomal RNA", at positions 338 to 693 of the family's 1533-position model. The record is from RNAcentral.